UUCCCUGAUCUAAAAUGGCUACUGCUGCUUCGCCAGGCCCACCUAAGCUGCAAACUAGCUGGCAGACUUACUCUAGGCCCUGCAAUCCUGGCUGCAAAAGCCCCGGGGGAGUCAACGCGUCUCCUGUGAUGGAAAGGUUCUGCCAAGGGAUUGAGGACUGGAUUGCCGGUAUAAUUCAUUUUAAUGCCUUCCCUACAUACUAAUCAUUUGCAAAGCUCCAGGAAAAUCCAGUUCUUGGCAGGCUUGCCAGACAUCAACAUUUAUUGCCAUCAAUCAAGGACAAUAGGAUGGCCGGCUUGCAGGCCACCCGGGACUUGCUGGCCACUUGGACAUUACCUAUCUCCAUAAUCCUCUCAAGAAUUCAUUGUUUCCCUCUCGUCCCGCCUCCCUCUCUCCUGAUUGGUCAGGAAGCCAAGACGGCAGAAGCCCAGCGAUUUGCCGAGGUGCUUAGGAGGCGGCCAAACCUCCUCCCAGCUGUAAGGCGCCAGCCAAUCAUCGUCGAGCCGGCAGAGGGGCAGGGAGCGGGAAAUUCAAACCUGACAGCUCUGUUUUAUGUAUAGAAAGGCCUUAUUUCUGUACACUGCAUGCUCUGCUUGGUGAAAUAUUGUUGCUUUGCAUCCUUUCCAGCUGGAUCACAAUAAAAUAAACUUG
Non-coding RNA from Anolis sagrei ordinatus, 651 nucleotides. Lineage: Eukaryota; Metazoa; Chordata; Lepidosauria; Squamata; Anolidae. The record is from RefSeq and is a predicted model, not a curated record.